UACGUAGGUGGCAAGCGUUGUCCGGAUUUACUGGGCGUAAAGAGCGCGCAGGCGGUCGUUCAAGUCGCGUGUGAAAGCCCCCGGCUCAACUGGGGAGGGUCACGCGAUACUGAUCGACUCGAAGGCAGGAGAGGGUAGUGGAAUUCCCGGUGUAGUGGUGAAAUGCGUAGAUAUCGGGAGGAACACCAGUGGCGAAGGCGACUACCUGGGCUGUUCUUGACGCUGAGGCGCGAAAGCCAGGGGAGCAAACGGG
RNAcentral lists this ribosomal RNA (253 nucleotides) under uncultured bacterium. RNAcentral's name for it is "partial 16S ribosomal RNA". It matches the Rfam family "Bacterial small subunit ribosomal RNA", at positions 524 to 776 of the family's 1533-position model. The record is from RNAcentral.